Molecule: long non-coding RNA, 351 nt
Filed under: Rattus norvegicus (Norway rat)
Lineage: Eukaryota; Metazoa; Chordata; Mammalia; Rodentia; Muridae
Description: long non-coding RNA NONRATT012137
Source: RNAcentral
GAGCCAUUGGAAAUCUGUGGAGAAAUUUUGGAACUAUAAAUGCUGACCGUGCCGAGUCCUCGAAGCUACGUGACAGAGAUGGAGCACUGGGAAUGCACAGAGAACCAGUUUCCCUUUGGGAAAUAGUCUCUCGCUUCCUCCUGUCUGAACCUGAAGGCAUCAUCAGUAUGUGGGGCCUAAACCAGAGUUCUCCGUUUUCCUGUGGCCAGCCUCUCCGAUGCUCCCACCCAUGUAUCUGAAAAGCACCUUGAUUUAUUUUGAUGAUUUUUUAUUUAUUUAUCUGUAAACAAACUCUGUGUCCCGUGGCCACAGUCACCCACGUUUGUCUCCAAAAUAAACGUCUCUUCUUUG